This 253-nucleotide ribosomal RNA is filed under the name uncultured bacterium. Its description in RNAcentral is "partial 16S ribosomal RNA". It matches the Rfam family "Bacterial small subunit ribosomal RNA", at positions 524 to 776 of the family's 1533-position model. The record is from RNAcentral.
UACGUAGGGGGCAAGCGUUGUCCGGAAUUAUUGGGCGUAAAGCGCGCGCAGGCGGUUCUUUAAGUCUGAUGUGAAAGCCCACGGCUCAACCGUGGAGGGUCAUUGGAAACUGGGGAACUUGAGUACAGAAGAGGAAAGCGGAAUUCCACGUGUAGCGGUGAAAUGCGUAGAGAUGUGGAGGAACACCAGUGGCGAAGGCGGCUUUCUGGUCUGUAACUGACGCUGAGGCGCGAAAGCGUGGGGAGCAAACAGG